Molecule: ribosomal RNA, 447 nt
Filed under: uncultured bacterium
Lineage: Bacteria
Description: bacterial SSU rRNA
Rfam family: Bacterial small subunit ribosomal RNA
Source: RNAcentral
UGGGGAAUAUUGGACAAUGGGCGCAAGCCUGAUCCAGCCAUGCCGCGUGAGUGACGAAGGCCUUAGGGUUGUAAAGCUCUUUUGGCGGGGACGAUAAUGACGGUACCCGCAGAAUAAGCCCCGGCUAACUUCGUGCCAGCAGCCGCGGUAAUACGAAGGGGGCUAGCGUUGUUCGGAAUUACUGGGCGUAAAGCGCACGUAGGCGGAUGUGCCAGUCAGGGGUGAAAUCCCGAGGCUCAACCUCGGAACUGCCUCCGAUACAGCACGUCUCGAGUCCGGAAGAGGUGAGUGGAAUUCCUAGUGUAGGGGUGAAAUUCGUAGAUAUUAGGAAGAACACCAGUGGCGAAGGCGGCUCACUGGUCCGGUACUGACGCUGAGGUGCGAAAGCGUGGGGAGCAAACAGGAUUAGAUACCCCCGUAGUCCCUGAGCGGGCUGGCAAGGCGCAU